CAGAAACUGGUGAUAUGGCUGUGUGGGGCCCCAGUGUGUGAGUUCCUUACAACUUCAGCUACUUGAAGUUAGUAAUAGGCCCAGUUUAACAGGGUUCCAGUCUGUCUGGGGAAAUAAAUUCAAGCUGUUACAACUUAAUACAUCAAUUGCCAUGGUGGAAGUAUGAAAAAACAAUGCCUGGAUAUAUAGAAGCAGGAAGAAUAUUCUCUCUUUUAUGAGAUAAGAGAGUUGAAGGUGGCUAUGCCUGCUGCCGAAGAGAGAACCCUGAGUCACAAGUACACAAAUGAAAUGCGAUUGUCUUCGUGGGUUGCAUCGUAUGAUUUGGAGCAAGUCUUCAGGCACUCAUGGAUAUUGUCAAAAUCUUCCAGAUAUUUUGAAGAGAUCAGAAUGAUCUUUCCUACUUCCCUGCAAUCACCUACCUGCACAGCUAAUAUUUUCUGAAUACUCUCCUGAGAGUCUGUCUGGAAGUUGGCCAGCCUCAUCUGGCUGAAGAGGACCACCAGUUUGAAGUGCUCCUGCCACAGUGUGUGCAUCCUUCUCUGCAGCUGACAGAGCUAAAGGGAAGAGGGAGGGGAGAAAACACAAGUCAGAGGAGGAGAGGAAAUUAAUGGCAGUGUUCAAGAAGAAUGAUGGAGGGAAAUAUAGAAAGCAGUCAAUAGCCCAUUCUGCACUGCACGGACCUGACAGGAAUUUCACAGUCUCUUGAUUUUUCAGCCCACUCAUGUGCAUUCAUCAGAAACCAGUCACAUCUGGCCGCCAGGAUGGGGGGUUAAUUUUCUCUAAAUGCCUCAGCAGUUUUGUUCUAGCUGAGGCAAACUCUGUGACUGCAAAGCUGAUGAGUAAAAUAUUUCUACUUCACCCAGUUUAACUCAAAACCGAUAGCCUUGGGACAUAUUGAACCUUUCUUGAAAAAAAUCAUCUUUUGAAGCCGUUUUGAAUGGCACAUCAGGUCAAGCCAAAGUUUAAAAAUGCAACUUUAAGACUUUGAUGGACACCAUCACUGCUUUUUUUCCUCAUAAAGCUUACCAUUGCUUGGCAAUGUGUGCUUUAGAGCAUGACAAAACUAAAGAGAAUUAACUUAGCCAUCAACUGCUGAGGGAGAACAAUAACAAGGAAGAAAUUUCCAGCUAGAACUCCCUAUUAAUCUACCUCCCUCUGACCAUGUGACAUGGAAACAUCUCACUGCACUAAAGCAUAGUGGAUGCGGUGUUAAGAAGUGACAUGUUUAAUACAGGAUCUGUACAGAAAAAGAAAGAAUUCACCUAUGACAUGUGCUAGAUCAUUUGGAAAUUUAAUAUAAAAACCAAAAGAAAACAGUGGACGUUUUAUCAAAACAAUGUACAUUUGCCCUUCACCAGUUACCGUAGGCACGCCAUACAGAAUUAUUAUAAUAAGGCAUUUUCAAAGGGAUAAACAUAAAAUUAACAGUAAAAACAGUUUCUUAAAAAUCCCAAACAUUUAUAAUGAAUGCUUAUAUUAUAUAUUUAUAAUGAAUGUAUAUAUCAUAUGUUUAUACAAUAUAAUACAUUCUGUCACUGAAAACUCUUGGUUUUGGGGAUGUGGAUAAUUGCUGAUAUCAGCUCAUUUUUAGCAUAUUUUGCAGAAUGAAAAAACAAAAUUCACAUCCAAACAUAUAAUAUCAAACACAAUUUUUAUAUUAAAUACUUCCUCAUACCAGAGUAAAAACAUGUGAAAAAUGUGGCUAUCUGAUGGGUUACAUAUGCAGGAUCCUCUGUAAAACAUCAAUAAAGAGUGUAUGUAAAAUUUGGGAAUGCUUUUGUAUAUAUAUUUCAAUAAAACAAUUCACUUAACUAAAUACUUGGUAUUGCAUGUAAAUUGUUUACCAUCAUUAUCCUCAUUAUGCAUUGUUAUAAAUAACACAUAUGUAUUUGUGUUUGGUUCCCAGGAAAAUAAAGCCUCUAUUUUUGGUUAGUUGAUUAGGAAGAAGAAAAGACUUUGAAAACUAUAGGUAUUUCAGCUUACUAAAUGCUGAAUUACAUUGUCCAGAACCAGUUUAUGGGCAUUUCAGAUAAUUUGGGCUAUUAAAUUAAAACUUAGCAUUAUUAUUUGAAGAGAAAUUUUG
This 2083-nucleotide long non-coding RNA is filed under the name Homo sapiens (human). RNAcentral's name for it is "HSALNT0249725". Lineage: Eukaryota; Metazoa; Chordata; Mammalia; Primates; Hominidae. The record is from RNAcentral.